RNAcentral lists this small RNA (28 nucleotides) under Bombyx mori (domestic silkworm). RNAcentral describes it as "ovarian small RNA-35428". The record is from RNAcentral. Lineage: Eukaryota; Metazoa; Arthropoda; Insecta; Lepidoptera; Bombycidae.
UGUAGCCUAGUUUGUUUAUAAUUAAUUU